UGGGGAAUAUUGGACAAUGGGGGGAACCCUGAUCCAGCCAUGCCGCGUGUGUGAAGAAGGCCUUAUGGUUGUAAAGCACUUUAAGCGAGGAGGAGGGUACUGGUAUUAAUACUACCAGGUACAGGACGUUACUCGCAGAAUAAGCACCGGCUAACUCUGUGCCAGCAGCCGCGGUAAUACAGAGGGUGCGAGCGUUAAUCGGAUUUACUGGGCGUAAAGCGUGCGUAGGCGGCUAAUUGAGUCGGAUGUGAAAUCCCCGAGCUUAACUUGGGAAUUGCAUUCGAUACUGGUUAGCUAGAGUGUGGGAGAGGAUGGUAGAAUUCCAGGUGUAGCGGUGAAAUGCGUAGAGAUCUGGAGGAAUACCGAUGGCGAAGGCAGCCAUCUGGCCUAACACUGACGCUGAGGUACGAAAGCAUGGGGAGCAAACAGG
Molecule: ribosomal RNA, 430 nt
Filed under: Pseudomonadota bacterium
Lineage: Bacteria; Pseudomonadati; Pseudomonadota
Description: Proteobacteria bacterium partial 16S ribosomal RNA
Rfam family: Bacterial small subunit ribosomal RNA
Source: RNAcentral